CCUCCCUCACGCGGCCUUUCGCGUGGUGUUGGGGCGAUCUGCGACCGGUCGCUGCAGCGAUGCGGCGUCCGGCGCAGCCCCUCAAAGCAAGUGGCGGGCCGGCAGCGGUCUCCGAGCGCAGUAAGCAUUUUUGCCUCUCGCCCUGGACGAUGCUGCCUGCGCCCUGCCCCCAAUGCAGACGCAAGUCUAUCUCAAAGG
RNAcentral lists this unclassified non-coding RNA (198 nucleotides) under Leptographium cucullatum. RNAcentral's name for it is "Grosmannia cucullata internal trancribed spacer 2". The record is from RNAcentral. Lineage: Eukaryota; Fungi; Ascomycota; Sordariomycetes; Ophiostomatales; Ophiostomataceae.